CAGGAAUAUUUGGGGAGUGGGAUAAAGAAAGGGGAUUGCAAAGAGGUGUUUUUUGGUUUUGUUUUGUUUUUUGAUUUUUUUUUUUUUUUUUUUUGGUGUUUUGUUUUUGAGAUGGAGAGUCUCGCUCUGUUGCUCAGGCUGGAGUGCAGUGGUGAGCAACUCUAAGUUUUCAAACUCAGCUGGUAUUCUGGUAUCAUUCACAACUUGUGUGUUAGUGCUAUCACUGAGCACUUAUCACCUCAGUGCCUAGCAUAAACAGUGUAGAGAAGACCUGAAAUGACCUGAUGGAGCUGAAAACCAUGGCAUGAGAACUUCAUGACACAUGCACAAGCUUCAAUAGCCAAUUUGAUCAACUGGAAGAAAGGGUAUCAGUGAUUGAAGAUCAAGUUAAUGAAAUAAAGCG
This 403-nucleotide long non-coding RNA is filed under the name Homo sapiens (human). RNAcentral describes it as "non-protein coding lnc-TDRD3-11:2". The record is from RNAcentral. Lineage: Eukaryota; Metazoa; Chordata; Mammalia; Primates; Hominidae.